This is a non-coding RNA of Schistosoma rodhaini, 45 nucleotides long. The record is from Rfam. Lineage: Eukaryota; Metazoa; Platyhelminthes; Trematoda; Strigeidida; Schistosomatidae.
AUGCAGCUGACAAGUUUCAAAUACAACGAAACGCGCGUCCUGGAU